UAGAAUGAACACCAGCUCCCAGACAACUAGAGUAAAGUGUUUUAUGUAUACCAGCUCCAAGACAAGUAAAGUAGAAUGAACACCAGCUCCCAGACAACUAGAGUAAAGUGGUUAAUGUAUACCAGCUCCAAGACAAGUUAAGUAAAGUGAACACCAGCUCCCAGACAACUAAAGUAAAGUGUUUAAUGUAUACCAGCUCCAAGACAAGUAAAGUAAAGUGAACACCAGUUUCAAGACAACUAAAGUAAAGUGUUCAAUGUAUAUCAGCUCCAAGACAAGUAAAGUAAAGUGAAAACCAGCUCCCAGACAACUAAAGUAAAGUGUUCAAUAUAUACCAGCUCCAAGACAAGUAAAGUAAAGUGAAUACCAGCUCCCAGACAACUUUAACAUAACCGCCUCAAUAAAAAUAAUCUAUUGGAGCUUGAAGCCAAACCAAAUAUUUCUUCCCAUGUCUCUAAACCAUAGAAAUUUAUUAGAGACCUAUUUCACUACAUAAACUUAACAAAAAUAUAAAAUGUAUUUAUUUCUACUUAAUUCUGAUCAUAAAAAACUUUGUGCCUAAUUAUAAAGUUAGCAAAUGUGGCUGUUAUUAAUGACCAAUUAGUAACUGUUUGAUGACCAUUUUGCUCAAUUUUACUUAAUGGAAAACAUAAAUGUUAAUGCUAACGGUUGCACUUUUUUCUUGUGCUUAAAACUUAUACAAAAAAAACAUUCCAAAACUAUGAAAUCUCGUUUCUAGCAUUUUUGAAAAUCUUUUUGUUUUGCUAUGGAAAGAAACUGUUAAUGUUUACAUGUAUUUUUUCCAGUGUAAAAAGAAUCUAAACCCGUCCUUUAAUUAAAACAAUAAUUAAAUUACAUUAUAUUUAAAAUUAAUAAAAGAAUAAGUUUAAUAUAUUUUCUCUUAGAACACUUUUGUAAAUAUAACUUUGAUCGUUGUAACAGUAAAUAGUCCUUUCUAGUAAUUGUGAAUAAAUAAUAUCAAUUAUUUAAAAAUAUCAUAGUUACCACUACAAUGUGAAACUGGAAGACAAAUGAAUCUGAGAAACCUCAGUCCGAAAUAAUAUCUUAAAAUUCACACUUAUUUUUAUUUUCAAUGAAUUGUCAAUGUAUUUUCAACCACCUUUAUCUAUUGAAUUAGAGUAUCAUUUAACAAUCCACAACGCUAAGUACAUUCUUUUAUGAAAUAGAUUUUGUCAGAUUUCUUAGGCACCGAAUAAGCAAAAUAAUGGUUGAACUUUCAGUCAGGUAAAGAAAAUACAUUGUUGUGAAUUGUUGAUGGUACUCUCUUUACCUCAGCAAUUCUCAUAAUAUUUAAAUCAAUUCAAUAGUU
This is a long non-coding RNA of Eurytemora carolleeae, 1330 nucleotides long. RefSeq lists it as uncharacterized. The transcript has 2 exons. NCBI's taxonomy places the organism in Eukaryota, Metazoa, Arthropoda, Copepoda, Calanoida, Temoridae. The record is from RefSeq and is a predicted model, not a curated record.